GAAAGUAAUGAAGGGCGUACGGUGGAUGCCUAGGCUCUUACAGGCGAUGAAGGACGUGAUAAGCUGCGAAAAGCCGCGGUGAGGCGCAAAUGGCCCUUGACCCGCGGAUCUCCGAAUGGGACAACCCAAUAUCUUGAAGAGAUAUUAUCCCGCCGAUGCGGGAGGCGAACGCGGGGAACUGAAACAUCUUAGUACCCGCAGGAAAAGAAAAUAAAGAAUGAUUCCCCCAGUAGUGGCGAGCGACCGGGGAAGAGCCCAAACCGACGUUGUCUCGGCAUCGUCGGGGUUGUAGGACCGCGCCAUCGCAAGAAAGGCCGUGAGUGGAAGCGACUGGAAAGCCGCGCCAUAGAGGGUGACAGCCCCUUACACGAAGCAGCCAGAAGCGUAGCGGACUCCUGAGUAGCGCGGGACACGAGUAAUCCUGUGUGAAUCCGCCGGGCCCAUCCGGCAAGGCUAAAUACUCGUAAGAGACCGAUAGUGAACCAGUACCGUGAGGGAAAGGUGAAAAGUACCCCUUGCAGGGGAGUGAAAGAGUUCCUGAAACCGUACGCCUACAAGCGGUCGGAGCAUCUUGAAUGAUGUGACGGCGUGCCUUUUGCAUAAUGACCCUACGAGUUGCCGUCACCAGCGAGGUUAAGUGCGAUGACGCACCGAGCCGCAGCGGAAGCGAGUCUUAAAAGGGCGCGAUAGUUGGUGGAGGCAGACGCGAAACCGAGUGAUCUACACUUGUCCAGGAUGAAGUCCCGGUAACACGGGAUGGAGGUCCGCACCAAUAAGCGUUGAAAAGCUUCUGGAUGAGGUGAGUGUAGGAGUGAAAGGCCAAUCAAACUCGGAGAUAGCUCGUACUCCCCGAAAGGCAUUUAGGUGCCGCCUGUGGCGUUCCCGACGUGAGGUAGAGCGACUGAUAGGAUGCGAGGGCUUCACCGCCUAUCAAGUCCUGACAAACUCCGAAUGCACGUCGGCCAAGCCAUGGAGUAAGGGCAUGGGUGCUAAGGUCCGUGCCCGAGAGGAGAAGAAUCCAGACCACCGGCUAAGGUCCCGAAAUACUGGUUAAGUUAGACUAACGCAGUCCGGCCCCCAAGACAGCUAGGAUGUUGGCUUGGAAGCAGCCAUUCAUUCAAAGAGUGCGUAACAGCUCACUAGUCGAGGAGCUGGGCGUGGAUAAUAAUCGGGUAUAAAACCAGUUACCGAAGCCGUGGGAUGCUUAAGCAUCGGUAGGGGAGCAUUGCAUGCGGCUUAGAAGGCGGGGCGUGAGCCCCUCUGGAGCGCAUGGAAACGCAAAUGUAGGUAUAAGUAACGACAAGGGGGGUGGGAUGCCCCCCCGCCGAAAGACCAAGGUUUCCUGAACAACGCUAAUCGGUUCAGGGUCAGUCGGGUCCUAAGCAUAAGCCGUAUGGCGAGGGCGAUGGACGAAACGGUUAAUAUUCCGUUACUGUCUUGGUGUGUGACGCGGCGACGGAGUAGUGACACGGCCGCCUCCUGACGGAAAAGGGGGUUGAAGCGCAAAGGUGUCGAGGAAGGCAGGCAAAUCCACCUUCCGAGCCGAAGCGCGAAAGUACGCCGGGCCCUUUGGGGCAAGGCGAUAGUGCCGGUAAUCAGACUUCCAAGAAAACCCGCUAAACUUCAGCACCAAGUCACCCGUACUCUAAACGGACACACGUGGUCGGGUAGAAUAUACUAAGGCGCUUGGGAGAUUCACGGUUAAGGAACUAGGCAAAUUGACCCCGUACCUUCGGAAUAAGGGGUCCUCGCUUUUGCGAGGCGCAGAGAAUAGGUCCAGGCAACUGUUUAACAAAAACACAGGGCUGUGCAAAUUUGAAAGAAGAAGUAUACAGCCUGACACCUGCCCGGUGCCGGAAGGUUAAGAGGAGAGCUCAUCAGCGAUGAGAAGGCUUGAAUUGAAGCCCCGGUAAACGGCGGCCGUAACUAUAACGGUCCUAAGGUAGCGAAAUUCCUUGUCGGGU
RNAcentral lists this ribosomal RNA (1964 nucleotides) under human metagenome. RNAcentral's name for it is "bacterial LSU rRNA". It matches the Rfam family "Bacterial large subunit ribosomal RNA", at positions 1 to 1977 of the family's 2925-position model. The record is from RNAcentral.